This is a long non-coding RNA of Populus euphratica (Euphrates poplar), 216 nucleotides long. RefSeq lists it as uncharacterized. The transcript has 2 exons. The record is from RefSeq and is a predicted model, not a curated record. Lineage: Eukaryota; Viridiplantae; Streptophyta; Magnoliopsida; Malpighiales; Salicaceae.
UGUUUUACUCUUCCACGUGCUCUCAAGCUUUCACCUCAUACUCAAGACCAGCUGAGCAGUCCUAAAAAGAAAGAUAUAUCCUGGCACAAACCUGAAGCCUUAUUGGCGGCGGCGGUUUCCGAGAGGCGGAGGAGGGAAGGAGGGAGGGAGGGCCGGGAGAGGUGAGGAAUGCUGGACUGAAGUGAAGUAGAUGACUUUAUUCUUUUCCAGAUUCCU